RNAcentral lists this ribosomal RNA (301 nucleotides) under uncultured bacterium. RNAcentral's name for it is "partial 16S ribosomal RNA". It matches the Rfam family "Bacterial small subunit ribosomal RNA", at positions 509 to 807 of the family's 1533-position model. The record is from RNAcentral.
CAGUAGCCACGGUAAUACGAAGGGGGCUAGCGUUGUUCGGAUUAACUGGGCGUAAAGGGCGCGUAGGCGGGUUUUUAAGUCAGAGGUGAAAUCCCAAGGCUCAACCUUGGAACUGCCUUUGAUACUGGAAGUCUUGAGUCCGGGAGAGGUGAGUGGAACUGCGAGUAUAGAGGUGAAAUUCGUAGAUAUUCGCAAGAACACCAGUGGCGAAGGCGGCUCACUGGCCCGGUACUGACGCUGAGGCGCGAAAGCGUGGGGAGCAAACAGGAUUAGAGACCCCAGUAGUCCCUGUCUCUUAUAC